This 82-nucleotide small nuclear RNA is filed under the name Chinchilla lanigera (long-tailed chinchilla). RNAcentral's name for it is "U4 spliceosomal RNA (ENSCLAG00000020735.1)". It matches the Rfam family "U4 spliceosomal RNA", at positions 1 to 82 of the family's 138-position model. Rfam says of the family: U4 small nuclear RNA (U4 snRNA) is a component of the major U2-dependent spliceosome. The structure of U4 snRNA from yeast and human has been reported. Lineage: Eukaryota; Metazoa; Chordata; Mammalia; Rodentia; Chinchillidae. The record is from RNAcentral.
AGCUUUGCGCAGUAGCAGUACUGUAGCCAGUGGGGUUUAUCUGAGGCAUGAUUAUUGCUAAUUGAAAACUUUUCUCAAUAAU